UAGAGAUUAACAAGGAAGGUGACUCAAAAUGAAGAAUGAACGAGAAAGAAAGAUCAAAUAUGACUUCGUAAAUGCAACUGGGGAUGCCUGAAAGGAGCUAAUUGACAACAAAAAGAGGAUAUGCAGAAAGUUGAUUGAGGACAGAAAAGGGAUGAGUUAGGUUUCAGGGAAGAUAAAUUUAUAAGGAGAUAUUAUCUUGGUCCAAUAGCCAUGUGCUAUGAUGAGUUCUCAGUGGCCUCUGCUUAUCAAGGACCAACUCAUUCUGAUUGGUGUCUAUUGAAGCAAAGAGCUGCUCUCGCCUGCCGGGACCUCAUUUGGGGAAAGUGGUCAUUUGCUCCCACCCACAUUUGUACUACUACUCCUUGAUGGUACUGGCUGGCCAGGAUAAAACCACUCAGAGAUGACACAAUUGAUGCGGGCCAGCAAGGAAGGAAAUCACCACACUUCAGAAGGAAAAUCUGCCCUCAUGAAGAAAAUGUGCUGGUCACAAAGAGUUGGGCUGUUCUUAUCCUACACAGCAAGUUCUCACUGCAAAUUAAUUAACUGGUUGGAUUCCUAAGUGGCCUGUUGUGCAGUCUCACCUGACCUUUCUUUGGAACUGGGAACGGGUUGGAGAAAAGCAGGCAGAUAAACUUGUCUUAGAAAGUCUAGGGAUGCUUCCUGUUCUUAGGAAGGACAUCCCUGAUAAGACCUUUGCAACACAAGCUUCAGGUGCAUAGAGAGGAAAACCAAGAUGAGACUUACAUUCCUGCCAUAAACAACUAGGAAACUGGGCGGAAUAGUAAAAACAACUCUUUGCAGAUAUUGGACAACCAUCAUUCUGGAGCUAUUAUCUUGAUAUUCAGAGAAGGUAAACAAAUGUGGCUCCCUUUCAAGAGUCUCAAUGCAUUUGCCAAGGAGCAAUUUCACUCCAUUUCCUUCUUCCACCACCAUUUUCCAGAGUCCUCAAUCCCAGGGAGUUGGCUGGCACUACCUUGAUGAGAAGGAACGAUAGAGAAAUGCAAACAAGUCAGAAAAGAGCAGAGGAAAGAAUGUGAGAGGCUGUGGCUGGAACUAUGAUGGUAGCAAGUGUGCUCAAGAGUUCCUUUAUAAUAACAAACCUCAAGCACUAAUGAGCAUUGCUGAAGAUAAAGAUUUACUGUUUCCAUUUGGUCCACGGCUUGGAAUAGGGCUCCAGGGUGGUUAAGAUGCUGCCUUGUGGCUGAAGGGAGAAGCUGAAGCAGAAGCCCUACCACCAGGGGAGACCAAGAAGACCCUCAAAGGCUGCCGGGCUCCAGAGGCUCCUAGUCAUGCUCGAAGGUAAGGAAACUGAAGCCUGGAGAGGGUAGGUAUAUGGACCUAGGAGUGGAAACCAAGCCAUAAUGCAACUUCUAACUCAGUGUUCUUCCCAUUAUACUUUUUGGAAUAACAGAAGGAAAUAAUCUCUGACAACAUAAUUAAGAGGUCAAAUAAAUUACGCAAGGUUAUAGAGCUAGUAAGUGGCAACAGUGGGAUAAGAAUCUAGCUAUCUGAGAACCCAAAGCCCAUUAUUUAUACCGUACAAUUAUAUUCUUUAUAUAUUGUUAUAAAACAAAUUGAAAUGUGUUUUUGUUAAAAUAUAUUUGAGUUUCA
Long non-coding RNA from Mustela erminea (ermine), 1611 nucleotides. RefSeq lists it as uncharacterized. Lineage: Eukaryota; Metazoa; Chordata; Mammalia; Carnivora; Mustelidae. The transcript has 10 exons. The record is from RefSeq and is a predicted model, not a curated record.